This 433-nucleotide unclassified non-coding RNA is filed under the name soil metagenome. RNAcentral describes it as "partial contains 5.8S ribosomal RNA, internal transcribed spacer 2, and large subunit ribosomal RNA". The stretch from base 1 to 120 matches the Rfam family "5.8S ribosomal RNA", at positions 35 to 154 of the family's 154-position model. The record is from RNAcentral.
GAUGAAGAACGUAGCGAAAUGCGAUACGUAAUGUGAAUUGCAGAAUUCAGUGAAUCAUCGAAUCUUUGAACGCAUAUUGCGCUCUCUGGUAUUCCGGAGAGCAUGCUUGUUUGAGUAUCAGUAAACACCUCAACUUCCAUAUCUUUUUUGAAAUGGGAGUUGGACUUGAGUGAUCCCAACGCUUUUCCUCACCGAAAAGUGGCGGGUUACUUGAAAUGCAGGUGCAGCUGGACUUUUCUCUGAGCUAUAAGCAUAUCUAUUUAGUCUGCCUAAAAAACAGAUUAUUACCUUUGCUGCAGCUAACAUAAAGGAGAUUAGUUCUUGUGCUGACUGAUGCAGGAUUCACAAAGACAGGCUUCGGCCGACUUUGUAAACUCGAUCUCAAAUCAAGUAAGACUACCCGCUGAACUUAAGCAUGUCAAUAAGCGGAGGA